RNAcentral lists this ribosomal RNA (459 nucleotides) under uncultured bacterium. RNAcentral's name for it is "partial 16S ribosomal RNA". It matches the Rfam family "Bacterial small subunit ribosomal RNA", at positions 338 to 795 of the family's 1533-position model. The record is from RNAcentral.
CCUACGGGCGGCAGCAGUGAGGAAUAUUGGUCAAUGGCCGGAAGGCUGAACCAGCCAUGCCGCGUGAAGGUCAGUGCCCUAUGGGCGUUAAACUUCUUUUGUGCGGGAGCAAUAAUGGUCACGUGUGGCCAGACGAGAGUACCGUACGAAUAAGCAUCGGCUAACUCCGUGCCAGCAGCCGCGGUAAUACGGGGGUGCAAGGGUUAUCCCGAUUUUUUGGGUUUUAAGGGUGCGUAGGCCGUGAGGUAAGUUAGCGGUGAAAUGCCCCCGCUCAACGGGGUGAAGUGCCAUUGGUACUGCCUUGCUGGAAUGCGGAUGCCGUGGGAGGAAUGUGUGGUGUAGCGGUGAAAUGCAUAGAUAUCACACAGAACACCGAUUGCGAAGGCAUCUCACGAAUCCGCGAUUGACGCUGAUGCACGAAAGCGUGGGUAUCAAACAGGAUUAGAUACCCCUGUAGUC